Non-coding RNA from Providencia alcalifaciens, 397 nucleotides. The record is from Rfam. NCBI's taxonomy places the organism in Bacteria, Pseudomonadati, Pseudomonadota, Gammaproteobacteria, Enterobacterales, Morganellaceae.
CUGCCAAGAUGUUUAAAAACGAAAAUUGGCUUUGCUAUGUUAGCUUUAGGUGUUUUUGCACUUUCAGCUAUAAUUAUUUUUAGCUAGUAGAAUACAAGUUAGACGUAAUACUGUAGGAAUUUAUUAUUUGAUGGCGUAACGAUGCUGCAAUGGCGUAAGACAUCUAACAAGAUCAAGUAAAUUAGCGAGCAACGAAUUUUAGCUUAUUGGGUUGGGAGUCUCCGUUUUCUAAGAAAUUUACGGCAUCCUGAUUAAGAACGCUGAAUUUUUAAUCUAAAAAUCAGGUUCACCGAAUACUGCGCGUCUCUAUACGAACGACUGCCGAGAGGUAGACGGCUUUGUAAAAAUCAUGAGGCCAUCGGUUUACAGUAGCUCUUUCUUUCGCUGCUCUUUAUUA